UACAGAGGUCUCAAGCGUUGUUCGGAUUCAUUGGGCGUAAAGGGUGCGUAGGUGGCGAGGCAAGUCGGAUGUGAAAUCCCGGGGCUCAACCCCGGAACUGCAUUCGAUACUGCUUUGCUAGAGUACUGGAGAGGAGAUUGGAAUUUACGGUGUAGCAGUGAAAUGCGUAGAUAUCGCUUGGAACGCCGAAGGUGAAAACAGGUUGCUGGGGAUGUGCCGACGCUGAGACACGAAAGCCAGGGGAGCAAACGGG
RNAcentral lists this ribosomal RNA (253 nucleotides) under uncultured bacterium. RNAcentral describes it as "partial 16S ribosomal RNA". It matches the Rfam family "Bacterial small subunit ribosomal RNA", at positions 524 to 776 of the family's 1533-position model. The record is from RNAcentral.